RNAcentral lists this long non-coding RNA (282 nucleotides) under Elaeis guineensis (African oil palm). RNAcentral describes it as "long non-coding RNA (EGUI_LNC025763)". The record is from RNAcentral. Lineage: Eukaryota; Viridiplantae; Streptophyta; Magnoliopsida; Arecales; Arecaceae.
AAUCUAAGUCAAACUCAAAUCAUGUCUAAUCAAAAUAAAUCUCAAUUUAAUUUGAUUGGGACUCAACUGUAAUUAUUUGAUCAAAUCAAAUAAUAUAGCAAUAAUUACAAAUAAAUCCUCUUUUAACUCACUAACUAUUAGUGAGUCCUCUAAUGUAACUUUUACAAAUCAAUCCGAUCAUCAAUCAUAUUGACAAUAGAAUCCUUCUACGAUUCAAAAUCAUAAUUCAACUAUUCAAUCAAUCAGGAUCUCUUACAUGUGUGAUCCUAUAGAUUCUAUUAU